Molecule: long non-coding RNA, 705 nt
Organism: Triticum dicoccoides
Lineage: Eukaryota; Viridiplantae; Streptophyta; Magnoliopsida; Poales; Poaceae
Exons: 2
Source: RefSeq, a predicted model, not a curated record
UCGCUAACCCUCCCUCGCCAAAUCCCCUCGCCCCCCGCGCCCGCUCCACUGCCGCCGACGACCCCUGCACCCGACGACCCCCGCACCCGCUCCACCGCCGCUGUCCGCCCGCGCCCGCUCCACUCGCCCUCCUCGGCCUAGCAGCGAGAAGAGCCCAGAAAGCCUCGCCGCCAUCACCCCCCUGCCCUCCCGACGAACCCUAGCCGCCCCUGCCCUCGAGCGCGAGCCGCAGCCAAUCCAGCCACCGGCGGGGCGGUGCGCAUCCUCAGCACCAUCAACCGCGAGCUGCUCAAGCCCUCCGCCUCCGUCGUGCUGCACCAUCGCCCUUUAGCUUCAGCACCGCCGCCGCCAUUGACCCACCGACGACUGCUCCUCCUCCUCCUUCGGUUACUCCGGCUCCGGCACCAGUGCCUCCUCCUGCUACCUACGCGGUCUACCUCAACAUCUACGACAUCUCCCCCAUCAACAACUACCUCUACUGGUUCGGCCUCAACAUCUUCCACUCCACCGUCGAAGCUGCUGAAGAAGUCCGGGUGGAAGAAGGACACAGGCCUUGGUGCGCAGGAGCAAGUCUGUGUCUCUGUUCUCUUCUCUCUUCUCUGCACUCAUGGAUGGCUGCAGAUAUGUGAAAUUUGUUGUGCAAUUGUAGACUCUGAAAUGAGAAACAAUAAACCGAAACUGUAGAUAUGUGUUUGAAAAUUGGAA